GAUGAACGCUGACAGAAUGCUUAACACAUGCAAGUCGAUUCAAGUUACCUUCGGGUAAUGAGGAUGGCGGACGGGUGAGUAACGCGUAAGGAACUUGCCUCUUGGUCUGGGACAACUGUUGGAAACGACAGCUAAUACCGGAUAUUAUGAGAUUCUCACAUGGGAAACUUAUGAAAGCUAUAUGCGCCAAGAGAGAGCCUUGCGUUCCAUUAGCUAGUUGGUGGGGUAACGGCCCACCAAGGCGACGAUGGAUAGCCGGCCUGAGAGGGUGAACGGCCACAAGGGGACUGAGACACGGCCCUUACUCCUACGGGAGGCAGCAGUGGGGAAUAUUGGACAAUGGGCCACAAGCCUGAUCCAGCAAUUCUGUGUGCACGAUGAAGGUCUUCGGAUUGUAAAGUGCUUUCAGUUGGGAAGAAGAAAGUGACGGUACCAACAGAAGAAGCGACGGCUAAAUACGUGCCAGCAGCCGCGGUAAUACGUAUGUCGCAAGCGUUAUCCGGAUUUAUUGGGCGUAAAGCGCGUCUAGGCGGAAAAAUAAGUCUGAUGUUAAAAUGCGGGGCUCAACUCCGUAUUGCGUUGGAAACUGUUUUUCUAGAGUACUGGAGAGGUGGGCGGAACUACAAGUGUAGAGGUGAAAUUCGUAGAUAUUUGUAGGAAUGCCGAUGGAGAAGUCAGCUCACUGGACAGAUACUGACGCUGAAGCNCGAAAGCNUGGGGAGCAAACAGGAUUAGAUACCCNGGUAGUCCACGCCGUAAACGAUGAUCACUAGGUG
This 776-nucleotide ribosomal RNA is filed under the name uncultured prokaryote. RNAcentral's name for it is "bacterial SSU rRNA". It matches the Rfam family "Bacterial small subunit ribosomal RNA", at positions 28 to 822 of the family's 1533-position model. The record is from RNAcentral.